Molecule: ribosomal RNA, 1160 nt
Filed under: uncultured bacterium
Lineage: Bacteria
Description: bacterial SSU rRNA
Rfam family: Bacterial small subunit ribosomal RNA
Source: RNAcentral
AGAGUUUGAUCAUGGCUCAGGACGAACGCUAGCGACGUGCCUAAGAAAUGCAAGUCGAGCGAGGUUUAGGAGCUUGCUCCGAAGACCUAGCGGCGAACGGUCGCGUAACACGUAAGCAACCUGCCCUAAAGUUUGGGAUAGCCCUCCGAAAGGGGGAUUAAUACCGGAUGUGGACACUGUAUCGCUUGUUACGGUGUCUAAAGCAGUAAUGCGCUUUAGGAUGGGCUUGCGGCCUAUCAGCUAGUUGGUGUGGGUAACGGCCUACCAAGGCGACGACGGGUAGCUGGUCUGAGAGGAUGGUCAGCCGGACUGGGACUGAGACACGGCCCAGACUCCUACGGGGGGCAGCAAUUAGGAAUCUUGCGCAAUGGGCGAAAGCCUGACGCAGCGACGUCGCGUGAACGAUGAAGUCUUUCGGGAUGUAAAGUUCUUUUCUGAGGGAAGAAGGAUGUGACGGUACCUCAGGAAUAAGCCCCGGCUAACUACGUGCCAGCAGCCGCGGUAAUACGUAGGGGGCGAGCGUUGUCCGAAUUCACUGGGCGUAAAGCGCGCGUAGGCGGGUUAUUAAGUUAGGGGUGAAAUCCCGAGGCUCAACCUCGGAACUGCCUUUAAAACUGGUAGCCUUGAGGUAUGGAGAGGGAAGUGGAAUUCCUGGUGUAGCGGUGAUAUGCGUAGAUAUCAGGAGGAACACCCGUGGCGAAGGCGGCUUCCUGGCCAUAUCCUGACGCUGAGGUGCGAAAGCUAGGGUAGCGAACGGGAUUAGAUACCCCGGUAGUCCUAGCCGUAAACGAUGGAUACUAGGUGUUAUAGGUAUCGACCCCUGUAGUGCCGGAGCUAACGCAUUAAGUAUCCCGCCUGGGGAGUACGACCGCAAGGUUGAAACUCAAAGGAAUUGACGGGGGCCCGCACAAGCGGUGGAGCAUGUGGUUUAAUACGUCACUAACCGUAGAACCUUACCCAGGCUUGACAUCUGUGGAAUCCCUAUGAAAGUGGGGAGUGCCUCGUAAGAGGAGCCACAAGACAGGUGUUGCAUGGCUGUCGUCAGCUCGCGUCGUGAGAUGUUGGGUUAAGUCCCGCAACGAGCGCAACCCUCAUCCGAUGUUGCCAGCGUAAAGUCGGGAACUCUUCGGAAACUGCCCGUGUAAGCGGGAGGAAGGUGG